Molecule: transfer RNA, 91 nt
Filed under: Bdellovibrio sp.
Lineage: Bacteria; Pseudomonadati; Bdellovibrionota; Bdellovibrionia; Bdellovibrionales; Pseudobdellovibrionaceae
Description: tRNA-Ser
Rfam family: tRNA
About the family: Transfer RNA (tRNA) molecules are approximately 80 nucleotides in length. Their secondary structure includes four short double-helical elements and three loops (D, anti-codon, and T loops).
Source: RNAcentral
GGAGAGAUGGCCGAGUGGUUGAAGGCGCACGCCUGGAACGCGUGUAGACGUCACAAGCGUCUCGAGAGUUCGAAUCUCUCUCUCUCCGCCA